RNAcentral lists this ribosomal RNA (393 nucleotides) under uncultured bacterium. RNAcentral's name for it is "partial 16S ribosomal RNA". It matches the Rfam family "Bacterial small subunit ribosomal RNA", at positions 523 to 918 of the family's 1533-position model. The record is from RNAcentral.
AUACGGAGGAUGCAAGCGUUAUCCGGAUUUAUUGGGUUUAAAGGGUGCGUAGGCGGUUUGCUAAGCGGGAGGUGAAAUGCCGGCGCUCAACGUCGGAAGUGCCUCCCGAACUGGUGGACUUGAAUGACUCUGCCGUGGGAGGAAUGUGUAGUAUAGCGGUGCAAUGCUUAGAGAUUACACAGAACACCGAUUGCGAAGGCAUCUCACGAAGGGUUGAUUGACGCUGAGGCACGAAAGCGUGGGGAUCAAACAGGAUUAGAUACCCUGGUAGUCCACGCAGUAAACGAUGAUGGCUAACCGCUGGGCUUAUCAGUUCAGUGGCCAAGCGAAAGCGAUAAGCCAUCCACCUGGGGAGUACGACCGCAAGGUUGAAACUCAAAUGAAUUGGCGGGG